Bacillus sp. FJAT-27916 is the source of this 82-nucleotide transfer RNA. It matches the Rfam family "tRNA". Rfam says of the family: Transfer RNA (tRNA) molecules are approximately 80 nucleotides in length. Their secondary structure includes four short double-helical elements and three loops (D, anti-codon, and T loops). Lineage: Bacteria; Bacillati; Bacillota; Bacilli; Caryophanales; Bacillaceae. The record is from Rfam.
GCGGGUGUGGCGGAAUUGGCAGACGCACCAGACUUAGGAUCUGGCGCCUUACGGCGUGGGGGUUCGACUCCCUUCACCCGCA